Molecule: ribosomal RNA, 254 nt
Filed under: uncultured bacterium
Lineage: Bacteria
Description: partial 16S ribosomal RNA
Rfam family: Bacterial small subunit ribosomal RNA
Source: RNAcentral
UACGGGGGGAGCAAGCGUUGUUCGGAUUUACUGGGCGUAAAGGGCGCGUAGGCGGCUUGUGCAAGUCAGUUGUGAAAUCUCCGGGCUUAACUCGGAACGGUCAACUGAUACUGCUCGGCUAGAGUGCGGAAGGGGCAACUGGAAUUCUUGGUGUAGCGGUGAAAUGCGUAGAUAUCAAGAGGAACACCUGCGGCGAAGGCGGGUUGCUGGGCCGACACUGACGCUGAUGCGCGAAAGCUAGGGGAGCGAACGGG